Molecule: ribosomal RNA, 305 nt
Filed under: uncultured bacterium
Lineage: Bacteria
Description: bacterial SSU rRNA
Rfam family: Bacterial small subunit ribosomal RNA
Source: RNAcentral
CCUACGGGGGGCAGCAGUGGGGAAUAUUGGGCAAUGGGCGCAAGCCUGACCCAGCAACGCCGCGUGAAGGAAGAAGGCUUUCGGGUUGUAAACUUCUUUUAUGAGGGACGAAAGAAAUGACGGUACCUCAUGAAUAAGCCACGGCUAACUACGUGCCAGCAGCCGCGGUAAUACGUAGGUGGCAAGCGUUAUCCGGAUUUACUGGGUGUAAAGUGCGUGUAGGCGGGGCUUCAAGUCAGAUUUGAGAAUUAUGUGCUCAACCCAUAACCUGCCUUUGACACUGUAGGUCUUUGGUGAUGGAGAGG